This 446-nucleotide ribosomal RNA is filed under the name uncultured bacterium. RNAcentral's name for it is "partial 16S ribosomal RNA". It matches the Rfam family "Bacterial small subunit ribosomal RNA", at positions 338 to 795 of the family's 1533-position model. The record is from RNAcentral.
CCUACGGGAGGCUGCAGUCGAGAAUCAUUCACAAUGGGGGAAACCCUGAUGGUGCGACGCCGCGUGGGGGAAUGAAGGUCUUCGGAUUGUAAACCCCUGUCAUGUGGGAGCAAAUUAAAAAGAUAGUACCACAAGAGGAAGAGACGGCUAACUCUGUUCCAGCAGCCGCGGUAAUACAGAGGUCUCAAGCGUUGGUCGGAAUCACUGGGCGUAAGGCGUGCGUAGGCUGUUUCGUAAGUCGGGUGUGAAAGGCCGGGGCUCAACCCGCGGACGGCACAUGAUACUGCGAGACUAGAGUAAAGGAGGGGGAACCGGAAUGCUCGGUGUAGCAGUGAAAUGCGUAGAGAUCGAGAGGAACACUCGUGGCGAAGGCGGGUUCCUGGACAUUAACUGACGCUGAGGCACGAAGGCCAGGGGAGCGAAAGGGAUUAGAUACCCUUGUAGUC